AACGAACGCUGGCGGCAGGCCUAACACAUGCAAGUCGAACGCUCGUAGCAAUACGAGAGUGGCAGACGGGUGAGUAACACGUGGGAACCUUCCCUAUGGUUCGGAAUAGCUCAGGGAAACUUGAGGUAAUACCGGAUAAGCCCUUCGGGGAAAGAUUUAUCGCCAUUGGAUGGGCCCGCGUCGGAUUAGCUAGUUGGUGAGGUAACGGCUCACCAAGGCGACGAUCCGUAGCUGGUCUGAGAGGAUGAUCAGCCACACUGGGACUGAGACACGGCCCAGACUCCUACGGGAGGCAGCAGUGGGGAAUAUUGGACAAUGGGCGCAAGCCUGAUCCAGCCAUGCCGCGUGAGUGACGAAGGUCUUCGGAUUGUAAAGCUCUUUUGGC
Molecule: ribosomal RNA, 385 nt
Filed under: uncultured bacterium
Lineage: Bacteria
Description: bacterial SSU rRNA
Rfam family: Bacterial small subunit ribosomal RNA
Source: RNAcentral